Molecule: ribosomal RNA, 433 nt
Filed under: uncultured bacterium
Lineage: Bacteria
Description: bacterial SSU rRNA
Rfam family: Bacterial small subunit ribosomal RNA
Source: RNAcentral
GGGCCCGCACAAGUGGUGGAGCAUGUGGUUUAAUUCGAUGCAACGCGAAGAACCUUACCAACCCUUGAAAUCUAGCGAAGUUCACAGAGAUGAGAAUGUGCCUUCGGGAACGCUAUGACAGGUGUUGCAUGGCUGUCGUCAGCUCGUGUCGUGAGAUGUAUGGUUAAGUCCAGUAACGAGCGCAACCCCUAUCCUUAUUUGCCAGCGCGUUAAGGCGGGAACUAUAGGGAGACUGCCGGGUGAAACCCGGAGGAAGGCGGGGACGAGGUCAAGUCAUCAUGGCCCUUAUGGGUUGGGCUACACACGUGCUACAAUGGGAAGUACAGAGGGAUGCUACCCCGUAAGGGGAUGCGGAUCUAUAAAACCGAUCUCAGUUCGGAUUGCAGUCUGCAACUCGACUGCAUGAAGCUGGAAUCGCUAGUAAUCGCGGAUC